This is a long non-coding RNA of Lotus japonicus, 221 nucleotides long. RefSeq lists it as uncharacterized. The transcript has 3 exons. The record is from RefSeq and is a predicted model, not a curated record. NCBI's taxonomy places the organism in Eukaryota, Viridiplantae, Streptophyta, Magnoliopsida, Fabales, Fabaceae.
AGAAAGCAAGGAUUCCAAGGUUGAAGAUGAUGAAGACGAUGAUGACAUUGAAGAAUUCUCAAAUGCAGCAGAGGGUACUGAUGCAAGCGAUGAAGACUGGGCUGCUUGAGAGUGUGAUCUGAGUUGUGGAUACUAGGCACAUAGAUGACAAGGCAAGGUCAUGCUAGUAAUGUGAUGAUGCCCUUUGACUUGUUAAGAAUUAAGAUAGAUGAACUGUGAGG